Molecule: long non-coding RNA, 88 nt
Filed under: Felis catus (domestic cat)
Lineage: Eukaryota; Metazoa; Chordata; Mammalia; Carnivora; Felidae
Description: lncRNA (ENSFCAG00000053550.1)
Source: RNAcentral
AGAGCAGAGGAGGCGAGGCCGCGUGCCAGUCGGUUGUCCAGGCGAGGGUCUGGCGACCAUCAUGCCCCUGCGUCAGAGGAGUGAGCUC